RNAcentral lists this ribosomal RNA (377 nucleotides) under uncultured bacterium. RNAcentral's name for it is "bacterial SSU rRNA". It matches the Rfam family "Bacterial small subunit ribosomal RNA", at positions 523 to 898 of the family's 1533-position model. The record is from RNAcentral.
AUACGUAGGUGGCGAGCGUUGUCCGGAAUUACUGGGCGUAAAGCGCGUGCAGGCGGUUUGACAAGUCUGAUGUGAAAGCCCCGGGCUUAACCUGGGAAGUGCAUUGGAAACUGUUGGACUUGAGUACUGGAGAGGAAGGGGGAAUUCCCGGUGUAGAGGUGAAAUUCGUAGAGAUCGGGAGGAAUACCAGUGGCGAAGGCGCCCUUCUGGACGGCUACUGACGCUGAGACGCGAAAGCGUGGGGAGCAAACAGGAUUAGAUACCCUGGUAGUCCACGCUGUAAACGAUGAGCACUAGGUGUAGCGGGUACUCAUUCCUGCUGUGCCGUAGCUAACGCGUUAAGUGCUCCGCCUGGGGAUUACGGUCGCAAGACUAAA